RNAcentral lists this ribosomal RNA (312 nucleotides) under Triticum aestivum (bread wheat). RNAcentral describes it as "partial small subunit ribosomal RNA". Lineage: Eukaryota; Viridiplantae; Streptophyta; Magnoliopsida; Poales; Poaceae. The record is from RNAcentral.
AUGGUGGCGGCGGGGACCUUGCUCACGUCAUGGCGGCGGCGGGGACCUUGCUCGCGUCAUGGUGGUGUCCUCGGGCACGGCGGAGUCUCCUUGGUGAUGGUGGCGGCGAUGUUUUGGGUGGUAGGUCGGGGCGGUGGCCCGCCUCCUUGUCUACGCGUCGUACUGCUGCCGCUCGAGCGCGGCGCUAUUGUGCGGAGCGGGCCGGCGCGGCGUGACGGCGGGCUGGCUGAUGCCGUUUUCGUCCAAUCUGGCGCCUGGAGCCGCGGGAUCGAUGUGAGCAGCGCGGGACGGUGUCCUACGCUGUGGUGGUGA